ACGGGUCUCUGUGAUCACAGCACCGCUAACCAGGAGAGAUCACCCGGGGAGAUUAAGAUUAUCAAAAGGACAGCGAUACAAACAAAUCAAACAGACGGGAAGCGGUUCAUAUCAUGUGUUUCUCGAUAAUGGAAACGUAAUCGCAAAGUUUUCCAUUUUCAAAUAGAUCUUUUUUUCGUCGUCAGAAACAAGCUCUGUGAUAAAAUCAAAAGCCAGAGGAAACAAAACCCCAUCCAUACAGAAGGGAGAAAAAAAACCUUGGGGUCAGUUCUCCUCUGACCGGACGCCCAGUUUUAAACACAGCUGUGUCAGACAGUGUAAAUGACUUAGUGUGUGUGUGUGUGUGUGUGUGUGUGUGUGUGAUGAAUGAAUAAAGGUUAAAUAAAUAUGCAUACAUUGCAAAGGCUUUGAACACUUAUGCAUAUGCUGGCAUACUGUAUAGUUUGUUACAGUUAUUAACAAUUAUUAUUAUUAUUAUUAUAUGUACACUGAAGUCACUGAAUGUCUUUUUAUUUGAUAAAAAAUAUCGAAAUUAGAUGAUGCUUUUCCAAAAGAUUUAUUUUUGACUACAUGAUCUUGAAGAGAAACACAAAACCUUCACAUUCAACAUCCCAGUCGGACUAGACAUGUUGUCCUAUUUUGAAAAAAAACUUGCUAAAACUGUGUGGUAUAUUAAAAAUAAAUGUGCUUUUAUUUUAAUAUA
This is a long non-coding RNA of Puntigrus tetrazona (Sumatra barb), 703 nucleotides long. RefSeq lists it as uncharacterized. The transcript is spliced from 2 exons. The record is from RefSeq and is a predicted model, not a curated record. Lineage: Eukaryota; Metazoa; Chordata; Actinopteri; Cypriniformes; Cyprinidae.